This 838-nucleotide ribosomal RNA is filed under the name uncultured bacterium. Its description in RNAcentral is "bacterial SSU rRNA". It matches the Rfam family "Bacterial small subunit ribosomal RNA", at positions 615 to 1452 of the family's 1533-position model. The record is from RNAcentral.
CAUAGUGUGNUCUGGAAACUGUCUGACUUGAGUGCAGAAGGGGAGAGUGGAAUUCCAUGUGUAGCGGUGAAAUGCGUAGAUAUAUGGAGGAACACCAGUGGCGAAAGCGGCUCUCUGGUCUGUCACUGACGCUGAGGCUCGAAAGCGUGGGUAGCGAACAGGAUUAGAUACCCUGGUAGUCCACGCCGUAAACGAUGAGUGCUAGGUGUUAGGCCCUUUCCGGGGCUUAGUGCCGGAGCUAACGCAAUAAGCACUCCGCCUGGGGAGUACGACCGCAAGGUUGAAACUCAAAGGAAUUGACGGGGGCCCGCACAAGCGGUGGAGCAUGUGGUUUAAUUCGAAGCAACGCGAAGAACCUUACCAGGUCUUGACAUCCCGAUGCUAUUCUUAGAGAUAGGAAGUUACUUCGGUACAUCGGAGACAGGUGGUGCAUGGUUGUCGUCAGCUCGUGUCGUGAGAUGUUGGGUUAAGUCCCGCAACGAGCGCAACCCUUAUUGUUAGUUGCCAUCAUUAAGUUGGGCACUCUAGCGAGACUGCCGGUAAUAAACCGGAGGAAGGUGGGGAUGACGUCAAAUCAUCAUGCCCCUUAUGACCUGGGCUACACACGUGCUACAAUGGUCGGUACAACGAGUUGCGAGCCGGUGACGGCAAGCUAAUCUCUGAAAGCCGAUCUCAGUUCGGAUUGGAGGCUGCAACUCGCCUCCAUGAAGUCGGAAUCGCUAGUAAUCGCGGAUCGGCACGCCGCGGUGAAUACGUUCCCGGGCCUUGUACACACCGCCCGUCACACCACGAGAGUUUGUAACACCCGAAGUCGGUGAGGUAACCUUUUAGGGNCCAG